UAUCCAUUAUCGGUACUUUCUGCUUUGUGUGGCUGCCUAUGCAAUAAGAACUCUGCAAACUAACAUUGCUGCAAACUAAUGAUGCUUUCUGCUGCUUGGGACUGAGAAUGGUGCUUGAAGUGCUAAGCACCUGAUCCAUAGCAGUACCUAGCAAGCUGUGCUGAGACCAUCAGAGAUUCAGCUGGAAGCAGCCAGCAUCUCUGCAAGCAAGCCUGCAGCAUGACCAGGUGGGCCAGAGAGAGAGCACUGUGCCAGCCACACACUUGAGUAUAGAAGGGAAUCCUGCCAAGUUCCAUUGACUGUGUUCAGACACAUGUACAUUCAGCAAAGGAAGUCCUAGUAGCUUCAACCACUGGACUAGAAGUUGCUUGAGAGUUAGUGAGGUGAUGCAAGAUUUCUGCCUGGUUUAUCCAAU
This 415-nucleotide long non-coding RNA is filed under the name Numida meleagris (helmeted guineafowl). RNAcentral describes it as "lncRNA (ENSNMEG00000010829.1)". The record is from RNAcentral. Lineage: Eukaryota; Metazoa; Chordata; Aves; Galliformes; Numididae.